GAUGAACGCUCGCGGCAGGCCUAAUACAUGCAAGUCGAACGAGAUUACGAGGCUUGCUUCUUAUGAAAGUGGCGCACGGGUGCGUAACGCGUAUGCAACCUACCUUAAUCAGGGGGAUAGCCCGAAGAAAUUCGGAUUAAGACCGCAUAAAAACACAGGAUAGCAUUAUCCAAUGUUCAAAUAUUUAUAGGUUUAAGAUGGGCAUGCGUGUCAUUAGCUAGUUGGCGGGGUAACGGCCCACCAAGGCGACGAUGACUAGGGGAUCUGAGAGGAUGACCCCCCACACUGGUACUGAGACACGGACCAGACUCCUACGGGAGGCAGCAGUAAGGAAUAUUGGUCAAUGGAGGGAACUCUGAACCAGCCAUGCCGCGUGCAGGAAGACAGCCCUCUGGGUCGUAAACUGCUUUUAUUCGGGAAUAAACCUUUCUACGUGUAGGAAGCUGAAUGUACCGAAGGAAUAAGGAUCGGCUAACUCCGUG
Molecule: ribosomal RNA, 482 nt
Filed under: uncultured bacterium
Lineage: Bacteria
Description: partial 16S ribosomal RNA
Rfam family: Bacterial small subunit ribosomal RNA
Source: RNAcentral